RNAcentral lists this long non-coding RNA (4030 nucleotides) under Sus scrofa (pig). Its description in RNAcentral is "lncRNA (ENSSSCG00000054034.1)". Lineage: Eukaryota; Metazoa; Chordata; Mammalia; Artiodactyla; Suidae. The record is from RNAcentral.
CUCUAACAUUAUAUUGAAAACAAGAAGCCAUUUUCUUGAACAGAAGCUCUCUCUAGAGAAAAGGAAAAUGGAGAACUGACUUUGGUUGAGUUCUGCUUUCUGAGAGCAGGUGCUUCUCAUAUCUGAUCUCAUGUAGCCUCCACAAACACCCUAAGAGUUUGAGCUAUUUUACAGAUGCGGAAAUUGAGGUCCUGAGAGGUUAAGCGAGGUCACACAGCCAAUACGAGAGAAGUGUGAGUCAGUAUACUUCCCAAGCCACCAGAUUGCCUCUGAUGACUUGCCCCAGAUCUGACAACUCAUCUUUUUUUCAGAAAUAAAACAAUAUUGUGGCCAUGUACUGUAUUUUUCUCCCCAAAGCUCCAGCUACUUCGAGGGGAUUUUUUUGUUUCAUUAUUGGUAUGUGUCCAAGCUAAGCAUAUUCUCCAACCUGUCAAGGGCUACCUAGGUCCCAUGAAAAGUCCCUGUGCUAUGCUAUGCUUUCUGUGUUCCAGCUCUUCUAGAAAUUAUUCAGGCUACCUCCCCCACCCAUGCACUUUCAUCUCUCUCUGCUAUGGGUUGAAUUCUGUCCCCCACACCCACCUCCCCAACCAAAAUACUGAAGUUCUAUGAAUGUGACCUUGUUUGGAAAUACAACAAGGUUAAAAUGAAGUCAUUAGGGUUGGAGUUCCUGUUGUGGCUUAGUGGGUUAAGAACUGGAUGAAGUCUUUGUGAGCAUGAGGAUUCCAUCCCUGGCCUUGCUCAGUGGGUUAAGGAUCUGGUGUUGCCAUGAGCUGUGGUGUGGGUCACAGAUGUGGCUCAGAUCCAGUGUUGCCAUCACUGUGGUGUAGGCCUGUAGCUGCAGCUCCAAUUCAACCCCUAGCCUGAGAACUUCCAUAUGCCAUAGGUGCAGCCCUAAAAAGAAAAAAAACCAAAAUGAAGUCAUUAGGAUAAGCCUGAAUCCAGUAUGACUGGUGUCCUUAUAAAAAGGGGAAAUUUGAACACAAACACGAGAGGGAAUAUACAAUGUGAAGACACAGCGAGGAUGCCAUCAACAAACCAAGGAGCACCUGAGGAUACCAGAAGCUAAGAAAGAGGCUUAGAACUGUUCUCCCUCACAGUUCUCAAAAGAAACCAAUCCUGCCCAUCUCUAGAACUAUGAGACAAUAAAGUUCUGUUGUUUAAGCUACCCAAUGUCACUGCAGUCUCAGGCUUCUAAAAUACUCCUCUCUCUCUCUCCUUGUCUCCCUUUCCCGUUCUCUGAUCUGGUUUCAUGGAUUCCAGUCUUGCCUAGAUUCUCUGGUUCCCUGGGCCAGGGCUUGGUUUAUCUCAUGGAUAGGGCCUCUCAGUCUCCCCGCCUUGUGCCCCCCAGGGACACCUGCUCCUCCCCACCAAUAACGCAGCUCCCAGCACCCCAAGAUCCACCCCUGGCCCAGCUACCCAGGCCCCUAGUUGGAAAAGGGGGGUUCCAAGAGAAGGCAGAUUGGACACAGUAAAACAGCCACAUGUUUUUUUGUUUUGAUUUGUCUGUCAACUAAAUAGGCUUAUUAUGCAAGGUAGACACCACUGUCUAGAAUGUUCUCUUCUCACACAGGUUGGAACUGUGAUCCUAGCAGCUCCUUGCUGACUUAAUAUCAUCUGUUUUGUGUCCUCUAUUACUAUCACAUGUCAGGCUCCAACAAAGCCCUUCCCUGAAAUCAUCAGGAGAAUCACAAAAUUAAAUGAAAGCUGCAAAGCACUCAUCAAGUUUCGAUCACAAAAUUCUUUGGUGUCACCUUGACUGAAUUUCUCAAACAUUCUAACUGAGGUUGGGAGUGAAACGUAAAUCGUUGUCACCACAAUGCAUCAUAUUGGAUUUUAGUGUUUAAUCAUUUUUCAUUUGAAAGAUACAUGAAUGUGGAUAGUUUUAAUACCUGUUUUAAACACAUCAGAAAUUCCCAUCCUUAGUUCUUUUAAAUGGGACUCUAAAUAGUUCUAGUCUAUUCAGAACAAAUAUUAAUCAAGUACUUACCAGUGGCAGGCAUUGUUUUAGGCACAGUGGUAAAUAAAAGAAAGUCCCUGCCCUCCAAGAGUUUAUUACAGUCUAAGAUCAAAGAUCGGCAAUAAACAAAAACAUGUAAUAUUGGAUCCCAAGUCAUGAUAAGUACUACAAGGAAAAAUAAAGCUAUAAUUAUUUGUUCAAUAUCAGUCUUCCUUUUAACUUAUAACCUUCAUGAUGACAAAGGCCUUGUCUGUCUCAGUGGUAGCUCAUUGUACACAUUUGAUAAUGGUUGUUGGAUGGACGGAUGGGCAGAUGGACCUAUGGAUAGAUGGAACUCAACAUUCAUUUGGGCUCCUAAAAAGCCAUGUAUAUCCUACAUUGAAAAUUCAUUGGUUCAAAUAGAUGUUUUACUUCUAAAGAAAUAAGGACCUACAGUCUCACAAAGCAAUAGAAAUAAGAGCAAAAAUAAACCCAUGGGACCUCAUCAAACUGAAAAGCUUUUGCACAGCAAAGGAAACCAAAAGAAAACAAAAAGACAACUUACAGAAUGGGAGAAAAUAGUUUCAAAUGAUGCAACAGACAAGGCCUUAAUCUCUAGACUAUACAAGCAACUUAUACAACUCAACAGCAAAAAGGCCAAUCAACCAAUGGAAAAAUGGGCAAAAGACCUGAAAAGACAUUUUUCCAAGGAAGAUAUACAGAUGGCCAGCAAACACAUAAAAAAAUGCUCAACAUCGCUGAUUUAAGAGAAAUGCAAAUCAAAACUACCGUGAGAUACCACCUCACACCAGUCUGAAUGGCCAUCAUUAAGAAGUCCACAAAUAACAAGUGCUGGAGGGGGUGUGGACAAAAGGGAACCCUCCUGCACUGUUGGUGGGAUGUAAACUGGUACAGCCACUAUGGGGAACAGUGUGGAGAUACCUUAGAAAUCUAUACAUAGAACUUCCAUAUGACCCCGCAAUCCCAAUCUUGGGCAUAUAUCCGGACAAAACUCUACUAAAAAGAGGCACAUGCACCCACAUGUUCAUUGCAGCACUAUUCACAAUAGCCAAGACAUGGAAACAACCCAAAUGUCCAUUGAUAGAUGACUGGAUUUGGAAGAUGUAGUAUAGAUACACAAUGGAAUACUACUCAGCCAUAAAAAAGAACGACAUAAUGCCAUUUGCAGCUACAUGGAUGGAACUAGAGACUCUCAUACUGAGUGAAAUGAGUCAGAAAGACAAAGACAAAUACCAUAUGAUAUCACUUAUAACUGAAAUCUAAUAUAUAGCACAAAUGAACAUCUCCUCAGAAAAGAAAAUCAUGGACUUGGAGAAUAGACUUGUGGCUGCCCAGGGGGAGAGAGAGGGAGUGGGAGGGAUCGGGAGCUUGGGCUUAUCAGACACAACCUGAAUAGAUUUACAAGGAGAUCCUGCUGAGUAGCAUUGAGAACUAUGUCUAGAUACUCAUAUUGCAACAAAGGGUGGGGAAAAAAAAUGUAUACAUGUAAGGAUAACUUGAUCCCCUUGCUGUACAAUGGGAAAAAAAAUAAAUUAUUAAAAAAAAAAAAAGGAAAUAAGGACCUAGUCAUGGAAGUAUACAUGUGGUAUUCUGUGCUUUGGGGGAGGUGGGAGGGAGUUAGAAGGAAUGAUGGUCCAAGAAAGGGGUCCCAAAUAGAGUGAAACUUGAACUGAAUCUGAAAGAUACUGCCAGGUCCAGAAAAGGCAUUAUGAGCAGAGGGACCAGCUAGGGCAGAGGCUGGAGAUAGGAAUGUCUAGGGACACCAAGGCCAUCUUUUGUUAAGACAGGAACACAGGGAGAAAUGAUGAGAUGAGGCUGAAAAACAAGGCAGGAGCUAAAUGUUGAUCUGCCUUCUCUGUAUAUGUCAGCUCUUUCAUUGCAGAAAUCUGAUGAGCUUAUCAGACAGGUUCUAAAGGUCAGCAAAACAGAAGGACUGGGGACAUUGAAGUAGUUAAGUGAGUAAGUUGCCUGGAAACCUUGUUAGGCACAAAAGCAUCUUUUUUUUUCUCUUGAGCUGCUUUGUUUCCAUGCUGGGGUAUCAGAUUCUGUAUCUUCCUGUGACUAAGAACUGCA